UAACCGGAUUAGAUACCCUGGUAGUCCACGCCGUAAACGAUGUCGACUUGGAGGUUGUGCCCUUGAGGCGUGGCUUCCGGAGCUAACGCGUUAAGUCGACCGCCUGGGGAGUACGGCCGCAAGGUUAAAACUCAAAUGAAUUGACGGGGGCCCGCACAAGCGGUGGAGCAUGUGGUUUAAUUCGAUGCAACGCGAAGAACCUUACCUGGUCUUGACAUCCACGGAAGUUUUCAGAGAUGAGAAUGUGCCUUCGGGAACCGUGAGACAGGUGCUGCAUGGCUGUCGUCAGCUCGUGUUGUGAAAUGUUGGGUUAAGUCCCGCAACGAGCGCAACCCUUAUCCUUUGUUGCCAGCGGUCCGGCCGGGAACUCAAAGGAGACUGCCAGUGAUAAACUGGAGGAAGGUGGGGAUGACGUAA
This 417-nucleotide ribosomal RNA is filed under the name uncultured bacterium. RNAcentral describes it as "bacterial SSU rRNA". It matches the Rfam family "Bacterial small subunit ribosomal RNA", at positions 770 to 1187 of the family's 1533-position model. The record is from RNAcentral.